This is an RNA transcript of Anastrepha obliqua, 5710 nucleotides long. RefSeq lists it as uncharacterized. The transcript has 7 exons. NCBI's taxonomy places the organism in Eukaryota, Metazoa, Arthropoda, Insecta, Diptera, Tephritidae. The record is from RefSeq and is a predicted model, not a curated record.
AUUCAGAACCAAGCCCCACGCUUGCAUACAGAAUAAUCCACCAAGACACUGAGCUCGUAUUUAAAACAGUAUAAAAGUGAAAUCAACGAAGGAAAAUCGCAUUGAAGCGAAAGCAUAAGAACGUCUGCCCUGACAUGAUUCGAUGUUAUUGUUCUCAUUGUACUUGAUUACUACUGUGUUUAUUAAUUGAGUGAAAAGCAGAGGCAUAACUUGGGCACACAUUUAUAUUUUAUAUGCGUGUUCGUAUGUAAAGACUACAUUUAUAUGUCCGCGGGCUGAAGCUUGGCGCCAGACCCAGAUGGAGUCAUUCAGUCAAACUCUCGCGGUCAAAUUAUACACAACCUAACGGGAUAAAUACGGAAAUUGAAUUUUUUACAAUCAAAGAGUUAAUAUACUUACAUAUUAUUUACAAUAUAAUUUGCACUUCCCCCCAACCUAAUGAAGAAGUUAUGUUUGUGAAUGUGUUAAAUUAUUUUUCUUUCGCAUUAAAUAAAAUGUAAAACAAUAUAUAUAUUUAGCCGGAAUAAUUAGAUGGUGUAUAUAUAUGAAUAAGUGCAUACAUAUUAGAAUAAAUCGUUGUACAAGUAAUGGCUCAUUUAAACGCUCAUUAUUGCAGAUACAUUUUAUUAAAAUACAGAGCUAUGUUUUGAACAAACACACAAAUAAGAAUAAAGCAUGCAAUACGGUACAUACUCAUAUCGUGCUUUAAUAAAAAUUUUCAGAAAAGAAGCAGAUAUCUAACUACAAAAUGUGGGAAGGAAAAAGGGAUGACGGUGCUUUCCUUAAUGGUAAAGGAAAAAUAAAGAAAAAUGUUUCAGUUGAUAAAAUGGGAUUGAACUUGGAAAGCAGUUGUAUUUUAAGAAUGGGGGAUAAGAAAACGUGCGAAGUAAACAAAAGUAAUUAUCACGAGAGUAACGUUUCGAGUAUGGAUAGCAAAUACAUGAUUUAUGGCUUACAACCUGGAGUUAUUGAGCAAAACCAACCCAUCUAUGAAAAUAUGAAGCACGAUUUGCUCUCAGACCAAAAAUGUGUACUAAGAAAAUUAUUUCGAACUAUCGAAAAGCCGGAUACUAUAUAUGAGAAUUUGUGUCGUGGAUGUGGUUACGGCGUUUUUGAAGCAAAAAGCUAUUUAUGUAAUUUUUGUUCAUGUGUUGUUGGAGGACUGCGGAAUAACCAGUUGCGGCAUUUAGAAGAAAGCGAUCAAAUUUAUGUGAAUACUGGUGAGAAUAUUUAUGAAAAUGUCUGCGUCAAAUGCUCUGCUUUGUAUAAUACAGAUGCAUGUGAGAUCUGUUUAGCGAACGAAAAUAAGAUGACACCCAAUAUUUUUGAAGAAAUGCAAUUGGCAGUUGCUGCUUCCAAAAAAGAUCAAAUUCCCACAAAAAUACCAAAAUUGAAAUCAUUUAAUAAGUUUAAUAAACAAAAACUUAUUAGUGGCAUUUUUGGAUCGUUGAAGAGAGGAGUAAAAACCAAUCAACGUUUUCCAAGUGGUCCAGAACACGGCAGAAAAAAACUUACUCAACUGGAUAUUAUCCAUCACGUGGAUGGAUCCAAUAACGUUUUUCGUACAAAUGAAACCUUUGAUAUACAAAGAAUAUGCGAAUUGAAACAAGCCCAAAAACAUUUCGCUGAGAUUUCUACUAGUGACCAGCAUAUUUACGGUCGUUUAAAAUAUUAUGAAAGCAUUGACAGUGACACUACUACAGUAACAAUAGAUACAUUGCGUAUGUUUAGAUCCAACUCCCAAGACCAGCUACAAGCAUCCAAAUUAGAUUCUAUUUGUUUCACAAACACUAAAGAAUUUCAUUCACCACCGGCCAUCAAAAAGGCUUUGAUUUCUUCGAGAAGGCAAUCACACAUAUCGCAACCCCCCCUUUUAGACUUCAAUCCACAAUGCAUUCCAGAUAAAAAUUUUAAUCUACCGAGUGAUACCAAGCUUGCAUUGCCAUUGUCCAAUAGUGUUUGUUAUUGGAUGAAAUUAUUACGUAAGCAGGUUUACAAUUAUCACGCUCAUGAUGCAUUAUUUGAUGAUGGGGACUUUACUUCGUGCAUUCCAAAAAGUAUUCCCUCAAAAAACGUACUAUUACAUACAUAUUGCGUCUCUAGUUCGAGUUAUAACAAUUGUAGUUUGAAGGCGUUCCCCUCUCAUUUAGCAGAAACUAUGACUAAUUUUCCAGUCACUGAUAAAAAAGGUGAAUUCAAAUAUGCAGCGCUUAUGAAUAAAAUAAACUCACACUCUGAUUCCAGUAGUAAUGCUCGUGUUAGUGAGCAAAUGGAAAGUCGCUUCGAUGUGAUGGUGGACGCAUUUAAGAAAAAUGUGAUGACAAAACAUUUGCUCUAUCAUCAGAGAGAGUCGCAACCAUCUGUUGAUCAUUCCAAUUCGCUCAGCGCAGUGCCCAAAGCAAACCACUUAACACGAUCAACACAACAGCGAACAAAACACCAAAUAAUAUGUAUGAAUAACGAAAACAAUGCAGCUUUUGACUGGCCUGCCGAGCACAGUCCGAUUUCAGUAAUAAAUUCUCAACAAGCGCUCUCAAGAGUUGGCUCCCAAAAAUGUCUAGCUAGUUGUUGCUCAGCUUGCAAUGUGGUCGAAGGGAAACAUCAUCGUUGCGGGUGUUUAAACGUGGGAGAUCGUAUACCUCGUGCCCCGUACUCCGAAUUCCAGCAGAAAACAGUGGCUUCAGUUGAAAAAAAUGAGAAUAAAAAAAUAAAAGCAAAAACUUUACUAAAAACGGAAACGGCUGACGCAUAUAACAGUGCUGUGGCAUCUGGUGUUAAUAAAAAGCAAGUAAAGCAAAUCAACUUUAUUGCCAAUGCUACAAAUAAUAUUGGAAAUAAUUCAUGCCUAGCAAAUGAAGCUCACUUAAAGAUUAAUUUAGUGCGUUUAAUAAAUAAUAGCUAUAUAUCUUAUAGUCUUAAUACAAACGUUUUACAUUCGUUCUCUAAUCGAUCACAGUACUUUCAUUGGUUACAAGAAUGGUUGCUUUGUUAUUAUAACCCGUGGAGUUUGCACGCCAAACGUACUUUGAAGGUGCUUGCUAAUUGUAAUAGCUUUGAAAUAGCUUUUAAAUUAUGGGCUAUACUGUGUGAGUCAGUGCCGCGACAUAAAAGUAUGUGGAAAUAUGAUAAACAAGGGGCGAGAGUUGUUAUGAAAUAUAAUCGUAUGGCAAUGCAAAGUGAACUGGAAAACGUAGCUGUUUUUGAUGAGAAAAAUAGUGAAAAUCUAUGUGUGAAAAAAAUUGUGGGUACAAACAGCCCAAUGAAAACCAACGACGAAGUAGUUUUGCGUAUAAAGAGCAAAGAGUCUUUAGAAAGAAGUAAAAAAGCUCAAGGGAAAUUUUUAGAUCUUGAUAAAAAUGUAGCUGAAUUGAAUGAGCAGGGUUUAAAGCAGGAGGGUCGCAGCGAUAACUGCGAUGAAAACAUAGAAGUUAGGUUGGAAUCAUUUAAUGAAAAAGCAAUCGUUUCCUGCGAAACAAAAUCUCCAAAUGGUAAUGAAGAACAGCAAAAGGAGGAGGAUAUUUAUCAACCCAUUUGGAAAUUUCAAACUGUUGGAGAAGCUCAUGAAUCCUACGAUAGUGAUCCUGAAUAUUAUGAUGCAAAUAGCCGGUCUACAAGCUCUAAAUCCUCAUUGGUAAAACAACAAGUAAUAUCAUAUGAUUCAUCAAUACCAUCGCUUUUAACUUCUGAUAAUGUGGAAGAUCAUGGCGAGUGGGAGACAGAUGAUGAGUUCAUGUUCUCAAAAAUUGUCGACGGAUGUUGCGUUGCUAAAGACACGACACCAUCACAAACAUUACACAGCUCCGUUACGCAGGGCAGCAAUACAAAGACAAGUAGUAAUACGAAUGUCGCUUCAUCAGCGAACUUCAAUUUUGAACACCCUCAACUCCGUGCAGUGUGCAUAUUUUUCAGUCUGAGUGAGCCCAAUAUCCGUGCCAUUAUCUACGACUACAAAAGGGCUCAAGCUUCGCAAUAUUUUUCAAAAAGUGCACAAGUGCACCCAAUAACAGAGAAUAGGAGUAAAACAGUCCCCAUUACGCCAAUUAAUUACCUUUGGAAAUCAUCUUCAAUUGAUCGUGUAAUGGAUCUGCCUUCAACACCUCGUAAAAACUCAACUUGUUCAACAACCAAGAUAACCUCUCAAAGUGGCGAAGCUUUAUCAGUUUUUAAUUUGAAGUCGGUGAAUGCGUGGAAGCUUAACCUUUUAAAUAUAUCCUAUGCAGAAGAUGAGGAAGAUUUGAUCGUGUCAGAAAAUGAGAUUUUGCGAUCGCAAAUAUUUAAGGAGGAACCCGAAAAACCGGCUUCUGUCAAACCCACCACUUUACAGCGCUUCAAAAGUGCUUCUUUCGGAAAUCUUUUGGAAAUACCGAAUGAGGAUGACAAGAAAUCUAUUACAGAACGUAUGCGAAACAAAUUGCAACGCGGAGUUUUCAAGCUAAAUAUGCGUUCACCAAAAAGCGAGAAAAAACGAAAUGGCAUCUUUCGCCCUGUAAAAACGGGAAGUUUGUACUUAGAAGAGGGCAUGCGACCAAAGUUUCCGAUUUUCUGCGCGUCACUGGAGCAAUUAGAGAUGAAUGAAUCCAUAAAUCCAAAUGUCCCACGCUUUGUUGUAGACUGCGUAUCUUACAUUGAACGGAAAGACUGCAUAUUACAAGAUGGAUUAUAUCGAGCCUCCGGCAACAAAGUGGCCAUUGAUGAAUUAAAGCAAAAAUUAUCAGAAAGCUACAUUUACGAUUCGAAACUGUUAGUAGCGGAUGAUAUACAUACAAUCACCAGUUUACUAAAGCAAUUCUUUCGAGAACUAAGUAGCCCUCUGAUUCCCCAACCGAUAUACGAUCGCAUCGGACGCAAUUGCUCUGAUGCUGCUGGUAUUGAGAUGUUACGAGAUGUCCUUGAAGAGAUACCUGAACCUAAUCAUGCAACGUUGAAGUUUCUUAUCCGACAUUUGAAGAAUGUGGCAGCCUGCAGUAUGGAAAACCGAAUGCCCGCAUCGAACCUAGCGAUUGUAUGGGGCCCCUGUAUUUUUUCCUCAAACCAAAUGGUAUUUGUUGACAUUGGCCGGAUGAACACAUUAACUAAAUUGUUAAUUGAAAAUUACGAAUAUAUAUUUAGAGAAAAUGAACGACUUGUUAAUUAAGCAUUUAAUUUUACAUAUAAACAUUCUCUAUUUUAGUUUUACCUUGUUUACAUAUUUGAAUUGGAGUAUUUGUCAAAAAUUCACUUGUCAAAAAAUACUUAAAAUUUGUUUAAGCGUAAGUGAAACAUAGAAUUUAAAGGAAAACAUAGUUUUACGAAGACGAAGAAAUCAUACGAAAUGUAGUUAUUUAUGUAACCAUUUAACCAAAUUAACAAUGUGAUAAAAUAUAUUGAUUGUGUGAGCGAUGGAGGAUGAAAGAACCUUUGUAGUAGAAGUAAGGGCGCACGGAAUUUAGCGGACGUGGUUUUUAUCCAAUAUCAAUGAUAUUUAUGUGGAAUCUAAAUGAGGCGGAGAGUAAUACGUUUAUGUACUAAGUUUGGAAGAGUUUUCCCUCUCCAGACGAAGUUUCAAAAACUUUUUUGACAUGAAUCGAUAUGAAAAAAUAGGCAUUUAUGAAAAAACCUGUUUGACUUCAAGAUAAAAAUUUGUAUCCUUGACUUCCGUUGUGUUGUAAUCUCUAGUUAAUCCACAUAAAAAUGUAAUUUUAAUUACAUUAUACAAAUCUGUAUUGCCAAA